CCUACGGGUGGCUGCAGCGGGGAAUAUUGGACAAUGGGCGAAAGCCUGAUCCAGCCAUGCCGCGUGUGUGAAGAAGGCCUUCGGGUUGUAAAGCACUUUCAGUGGGGAAGAAAGCCUUGGGGCUAAUACCCUCGAGGAAGGACAUCACCCACAGAAGAAGCACCGGCUAACUCCGUGCCAGCAGCCGCGGUAAUACGGAGGGUGCGAGCGUUAAUCGGAAUUACUGGGCGUAAAGCGCGCGUAGGCGGUCUGAUAAGCCGGUUGUGAAAGCCCCGGGCUCAACCCGGGAACGGCAUCCGGAACUGUCAGGCUAGAGUGCAGGAGAGGAAGGUAGAAUUCCCGGUGUAGCGGUGAAAUGCGUAGAGAUCGGGAGGAAUACCAGUGGCGAAGGCGGCCUUCUGGACUGACACUGACGCUGAGGUGCGAAAGCGUGGGUAGCAAACAGGAUUAGAUACCCGAGUAGUC
RNAcentral lists this ribosomal RNA (465 nucleotides) under Vreelandella stevensii. RNAcentral describes it as "partial 16S ribosomal RNA". It matches the Rfam family "Bacterial small subunit ribosomal RNA", at positions 338 to 795 of the family's 1533-position model. The record is from RNAcentral. Lineage: Bacteria; Pseudomonadati; Pseudomonadota; Gammaproteobacteria; Oceanospirillales; Halomonadaceae.